Molecule: ribosomal RNA, 456 nt
Filed under: uncultured Streptococcus sp.
Lineage: Bacteria; Bacillati; Bacillota; Bacilli; Lactobacillales; Streptococcaceae
Description: bacterial SSU rRNA
Rfam family: Bacterial small subunit ribosomal RNA
Source: RNAcentral
CAAGGCGGUGGAGCAUGUGGUUUAAUUCGAAGCAACGCGAAGUAACCUUACCAGGUCUUGACAUCCGAUGCUUAUUUCUAGAGAUAGAAAGUUACUUCGGUACAUCGGUGACAGGUGGUGCAUGGUUGUCGUCAGCUCGUGUCGUGAGAUGUUGGGUUAAGUCCCGCAACGAGCGCAACCCCUAUUGUUAGUUGCCAUCAUUCAGUUGGGCACUCUAGCGAGACUGCCGGUAAUAAACCGGAGGAAGGUGGGAUGACGUCAAAUCAUCAUGCCCCUUAUGACCUGGGCUACACACGUGCUACAAUGGUUGGUACAACGAGUUGCGAGUCGGUGACGGCGAGCUAAUCUCUUAAAGCCAAUCUCAGUUCGGAUUGUAGGCUGCAACUCGCCUACAUGAAGUCGGAAUCGCUAGUAAUCGCGGAUCAGCACGCCGCGGUGAAUACGUUCCCGGGCCUU